AUAUCUUGCUCGUUUGAAUUGUUUUUCAUUCGAUUCAAAUUGGAGAAUGAUCCUUGAAAUGUCUAGUUUCCAGAAUGUCUUUUGGAGCCUCAUUUGGAGAUCCGAGGUAGAUUUGGUGUCUGUUGUAAAACAACCCCUUAAGAGCUCAAGUUGUUGAAUUAUUUUCUAUGUAUCAAAGUUUAUUUUAAAGGAUGUUUCGUGAAAGAUUUAGUAUAUGUGCAUAACAAGUUUGGGACUAUUUAUUUUAAAUGAGGUCCGUUCUUUAUUUAAAUUAGGAUGGACUUUUAAUGAAUAUUUUUGGGAUUAAACUAUUAUUUCUUGAUUUAUAUAAAUUAUUUUUAAGGACUUAUAAAUAUGAAUUUCGUAGGCCUACUGACCUACUGUGAUCGACGGUUUGUCGAUGUCUAACAGCUUUGAAAAUUUUAUAGCAAGUCCCUACAUGAGUCUUGAGUACCCUGGUAAAAUUUCAAGCCAUUCCAACUUCGUAUGAUACUUCUUUAAAAUGCAAAACCUAAACUGCACAUUACUACUGAGAAUUUCAGAGAACAGAGAAAAGAGUCAUUUAUUUCAGUAGCUUCCUGGGUGAUCUAGCUUUCCAAAUUUUUAUGGUAUUAACCUUAUUGUGUUAUUUAGAUAUCCACCAAAGUUGAGCCCAGUUUGACAACGUUUACUAUUUUUCAAAAAUACAAGUUUUCGAUUGUUCAAAACUGCCGAACAUGGUAGAUCGUGGUAAAAACGUCAUAUCUCUCAAACCACUUGGAGUUUUUGACUCUAUUUUUUUUUAUAUGAAACUAGACUCGAAGAUCUUUCUUUCGGUAUGAGUCUCGAGUCCAGGAGAUGUCGGAGUCAGAACAGAUUAAAUUUUGAAGUUGAGUCAGUGUAAAAGCAGAGCAUGUUUUGAUGAUGUUUGAUUGUGAUUCUUAUGUGCCUUAUGUUGAGCCUUUUUAUUUUAUUUUAUUUUUUUUUAAUUUUAUAACAUUACUUGUUCUUAUUUAUUAAGCCCGAUUAAUUAUGAGAUUAUAAAGCGAAUAAGUUGAAGUAUUUAUUUUCUAUUGACUACGAGGAACGGGGUUUAUUUAAUUGACGGAUUAGAACACCCGAUGAGAACGGAUUGAUUAUGAUAAUCUAUCCGACCUCAUGUGACGAGCCUUAUUUAAAUUAUUUUAUUUCGACAAUUAGGAUUUAUAAUAGAAUUUCCCAGAUUAUUAUCUCAGAAUAAUAAUUAUCGGAAUAUGAGUCAUGCAUAGUUAAAUUACGCAUUCUCAUUAAUUGAGGAUUUUAUUCGAGCAGUAUCUUAUUUAUAUUCUCGUAAUAAAGGUCAAACACGAGAUUAAUAAUCAGUCAAGGAGCUACUGUACCACAGAAAAUUUCUAUCAGGUUGAGCAGCUGCCGAUGGUGAUGAAGUGACGAGCGGGAUUCUUUUGUCUUAUUAUGUAUUAAUGAACUCUAGGGUUACAUGUCUUCAUACAUGUAAUCAGAACCUUAUUCCGCUGCGUACUCAGAAGUUUUAUGUUAUUUUGGAUAAGUCGGAGUUAUCCGAACUUGUUAGUUAUUUGAGUCUAUACGACAAAAACUCUGUUAUAUUAUAGAUAUCCAUGUUGUUAACAAUGAUGAAAUACGAUCCUUUCUUGUUUGAUUA
Molecule: long non-coding RNA, 1639 nt
Organism: Salvia miltiorrhiza (redroot sage)
Lineage: Eukaryota; Viridiplantae; Streptophyta; Magnoliopsida; Lamiales; Lamiaceae
Exons: 2
Source: RefSeq, a predicted model, not a curated record